This 702-nucleotide ribosomal RNA is filed under the name uncultured Chloroflexota bacterium. RNAcentral's name for it is "bacterial SSU rRNA". It matches the Rfam family "Bacterial small subunit ribosomal RNA", at positions 608 to 1322 of the family's 1533-position model. Lineage: Bacteria; Bacillati; Chloroflexota. The record is from RNAcentral.
CUUAACGGGGCGAGGUGCGUCGAUACGACCCCGCUGGAGGCAGUCUGAGGUUGGCAGAAUUCCGAGUGUAGUGGUGAAAUACGUAGAGAUUCGGAGGAAUGCCGGUGGCGUAAGCGGCCAACUCCUGCUGGCCUGACGCUGAGGCACGAAAGCGUGGGGAGCGAACCGGAUUAGAUACCCGGGUAGUCCACGCGGUAAACGAUGUCGGCUCGGCGUGCGUCGAUGAGUAUCAUUGAUGCGUGCCUAAGCUCACGCGGUAAGCCGACCGCCUGGGAACUACGAGCGCAAGCUUAAAACUCAAAGGAAUUGACGGGGGCCCGCACAAGCAGCGGAGCGUGUGGUUUAAUUCGAUGCAACGCGAAGAACCUUACCCAGGGUUGACAUGGUGCUGCAAGCUCUCGGAAACGGGAGGCCUUCGAGGGCGCACCACAGGUGCUGCAUGGCUGUCGUCAGCUCGUGUCGUGAGAUGGUGGGUUCAGUCCCGCAACGAGCGCAACCCUCGCCGUCAGUUAUUCGUGUCUGACGGGACUGCCAACGGUUACGUUGGAGGAAGGCGGGGAUGACGUCAAGUCCGCAUGGCCCUUACCUCUGGGGCGACACACACGCUACAAUGGCCAGGACAAUGCGUUGCAAACGCGCGAGCGGGAGCUAAUCGCCAAACCUGGCCCCAGUGCAGAUCGGGGGCUGCAACUCGCCCCCGUG